CUCAUUUCCAAACUGGACCAUUAGUUUUCUUGUUAGUGGAAGCGUCAGUUACUACCUGCUUACAGAACUGUUGCUUAACCGAAUUGUCUGAAUUACAGUUUACACAGUUUCUUUGUAUCAUCCAUUGCACAGGCAUUCUUUUGACUUGCUCAUCAGAAGUAUGUGAAGGUAUCUGCUUGAAAUUAGAAAACUUUCUGUAAGAAUCAUGAGUGUUCGUAACUGUCGUGCCUACAAUUUUUCAAAACAUGGAUACAUCCCUAUAGUUGCCACAGCAGACUGGAAAAGAAUUAUACAGAGCAAAGUAUUUGCUGCUAUGAAUAUAGAUUACUCCAGAUUCACACUUGAACAGAGUAAUGAGAAAAUGAUCCACUCCAAAAGAAAAUACACUCCUAUGUAUGAGGUCUUGUGGGAGAGAUGGAGACUUUUAAGCUGUUGUCCACUUAGUUUUAAUGUUCCCUCAGCUGUUACAGUAUUAAGUUGUAUUUUCAUGUGAAAUCACUAUGCUUUAGCUAUCUUACCUUUCUUAUAAUGUCUCAAAAAAUUCAAGUGACUAGAAGUCACUGGAUGGUUUUAUGUGGGAUUUUGCGUACACAGAGUCGUAUACAUGUUUAUGUCAGUCACUUUGCAUUGUAAUGACCUUAUCCACUCAGGAAUUAUGAAAAGAUUCAAAAAGUUCUGGUGAUGAAAUAUUUCAAUUACAGUAUUUUCAGGCUUUUGCUAGAGAUCAUCAAGGGAGUUCCAAACUGAGACACUGUGCUGUGAUCUCAGCCAGGACCUCAUGACAGGUCAAUAGUAAAGGCAAGGAAAUGCUUUUAAAAGAAAAAGAACCAUCUGAUUGUGAUUCCUUCCUUAUUGAGUAGCUGCCCACAUCACUGUGAUAAGCCAUCACUUCUGCUAGCUGAUGACUUGGAAACCAGUAAGGCUUUUGAUAUAAGAACUUGUUAAAAGCUAAGAGCUUUUCUCAGGGAAAAAAAAAAAAAAAAAGGACUAACUGAAUUUCAAAGGAUUAAUAAAUUAUGGGCUUGAAAUACGCACUCAGCCUUACAAUCUUGUCUUCAGUUGACUUCCUAAGACUGGGAUACUCAAUCUAUUAACCUUGCAGAAAAUACCACAAUUGGUAAAUACUAAUUUUUUAAUUGCAUUUGUCUUAAUUGCAAAUAAUCACUUUGUGUGCUUACACCUACAGUUGGGUUGCUUUUGUCAGGUACAACUUG
Long non-coding RNA from Neopsephotus bourkii (Bourke's parrot), 1214 nucleotides. RefSeq lists it as uncharacterized. Lineage: Eukaryota; Metazoa; Chordata; Aves; Psittaciformes; Psittacidae. The transcript has 3 exons. The record is from RefSeq and is a predicted model, not a curated record.